GACGAACGCUGGCGGCGCGCUUAACACAUGCAAGUCGAACGGAAAGGCCUGCUUUCCCUUGUGGAUUGCGGGUACUCGAGUGGCGGACGGGUGAGUAACACGUGAGUGAUCUGCCCCCAACUUGGGUAUAAGCCUGGGAAACUGGGUCUAAUUCCCGAUAGGACUGCAGGGUGGUGCCUGUGGUGGAAAACGAUUUUCUAGUGGUUGGGGAUGAGCUCGCGGCCUAUCAGCUUGUUGGUGGGGUAAUGGCCUACCAAGGCGGCGACGGGUAGCCGGCCUGAGAGCGUGGACGGCCACAUUGGGACUGAGAUACGGCCCAGACUCCUACGGGAGGCAGCAGUGGAGAAUAUUGCACAAUGGGCGGAAGCCUGAUGCAGCGACGCCGCGUGGGGGAUGACGGCCUUCGGGUUGUAAACUCCUUUCGACCGCGAGGAAGCCACCUGGUUGGAAGGGUGGUGACGGUAGUGGUAGAAGAAGCACCGGCUAACUACGUG
Molecule: ribosomal RNA, 494 nt
Filed under: uncultured bacterium
Lineage: Bacteria
Description: partial 16S ribosomal RNA
Rfam family: Bacterial small subunit ribosomal RNA
Source: RNAcentral